This is a long non-coding RNA of Pipra filicauda (Wire-tailed manakin), 1938 nucleotides long. RefSeq lists it as uncharacterized. The transcript is spliced from 3 exons. The record is from RefSeq and is a predicted model, not a curated record. NCBI's taxonomy places the organism in Eukaryota, Metazoa, Chordata, Aves, Passeriformes, Pipridae.
AGAGACGAAAUAGAGAAAAGGGAGAGAGCGAAAGAUACUCCACUCUCUGCUACUCCAGCAGCAGCUCCAGCUUCGUCUGAUCCGCCGCCAUCAGCGCUACUUUUGUAACAGAUCCUACUCCGCGUGUGUGUGUGAAAAUGACAGAGCAGACCCAGUAUUCAUAUUGGUUUUACAUCCUUUGUUUUAAGAGUCACAUCAUCUCGAAUGUAUUAACUCACAACAAUUUCGGUAAAACAGAGGAGUGCUCGUCUCCAUUUUAAAGAUGGCAAAAGGAUCAAAGCUGAGAUCCACAAAUGAAGAAUUGAGUGUUCGCAUUGCCCGGGCUCAAAGCCAGCACGAUAUUUCAGUUGCAAUCUGUAAAGCAUGCAGUCACUCAUCUACAUUGUUUCUGGAUUGGAGCUGGCACUUGACGGCUGGUGGGAAGAACUCCCAGUUGUCUUCACCUAUCCACCUACCUGUAGGUACGUAGGAUUCAGGGUUUGGAUGCAAGUCCGAAAUAGCAUUUUCUAAAAUGAUUUUGCAGCCUGUAGACUCAAACAGUCUGAAAAGUAUCUCUAGCCCAGCUUUUGUAGGUCUCCAUAGGCUUUAUAGUUUUGCCACCCGAAGUGGCACCACUUUGCAUAUUUAGCUGUAACUGCUCACCUGAGUACUUCUGCUUCCCCACAGGGAUGCAACAGGCAACUGCAGAGUCAUGGGCCUGUGACAUGAAAGUUCUGCUUCACACAGGAUGUACCAUGAUGAGAUCCAGGGUAGAAAGAAAAUGUUGGAGAGUGGAUUAAAGGACUGACUAGAGAGUGCAGGCAGCCUGAUCUCAAUUUCUAGUUUCAGGAGGAAAAAAGCUCUUAUUGAAGUCUGCACCAGAUGGAAAUGCAGAACCCAGCCCAUUGCAAGUAAGAUGAAUUGUUUUACAUUUGAAUUUGAUAUAAUUUAUAUUGUAAAAACUUUGUGACCUACAUCCAGCAGCAAGAUAGUCAACACUGCUUUGUUCUCACCCUUGCUUUUAUUCAUAUUUGAGUAAGUAUGCUGGAUCUGGUAGCAAAACUUUCACUACCUGAUAUAGCAGUUUACAUUUUUCUUGUUAUUGUCAGAUCUUAGGAAAACAUUCAUCCUAAUUCUAGUCAUGAGAACAGGGAUGUAUGCAUUUUCACACUGAAAGUUUUUUUGUUUGUUUGAGUUUUUUGACACUGCAAUUAAACCAACAAUAAUUUUAGAAUAGUUUAAUAUUGAAACUUGGAGUCCAGCAUAACAUAUAUUCUCUCAGUGAAUACCAAGAAAAAUAUCUUAAAACAAACUGCUGGGCAUCUUAAACUUCAUCCAUUGUGAUGGUUUUGCUUGGUAUAGAGUUGAUUUUGCUUUCCUGAUGUGUGUGGUUUUUGCUUUACCUAUUGUUCUGUCUUUGUCUCAACUCACAAGUUGUUUUCUCACUUUUACCCUUCAGAUUGUCUCCCACAUCCAAGUGGUGAGGAGUGAGUGAACGGCUGUGUGGGGCUGAGUUGCUGGCUGGGGUUAAAUCACAGCAGCCAUUUCAGGAGAAAGCAUAAUGGAGAGUUUAGUCAAUUAUCACUGGUCUUGGUACAUCUACACAAGAUCACUGUAGCACUUUGUGGAGAUGUUAGUUUGGUUCUGGAAGGCUCUAUGUCCAUUCUAGUAUAGUUAUUAUGCUUCUGAGUUUCAAAGGAAAAUUAAGUUAUUUGUUCAAGAAUCACUGUAUUGUAUUUCACAGUGUAAUGUAGAAGUGCUCACUGUAAAUCUCAUAUUGAUGUUAUGACACUAUUCACAGAAAACUAUAAAUACCAGUAAUCUUGUUGGAGAAAACUCUCAAUUAUAAAUGUUAAACUGUGGUAUGUUCUGAACUUGUAAAGAAAUAUAACUUCUAAGAUCAGUCUUAUAAAAAUAACAUAUGUUAAGGUUGUAAUAAAGUGACAUAAUAUUUUUGUA